UACGUAGGGAGCAAGCGUUGUCCGGAAUCAUUGGGCGUAAAGCGCGCGUAGGUGGCCCCAUAAGUCCGCUGUGAAAGUCCAGGGCUCAACCCUGGGAUGCCGGUGGAUACUGUCGGGCUCGAGUCCGGAAGAGGAGUGUGGAAUUCCUGGUGUAGCGGUGAAAUGCGCAGAUAUCAGGAGGAACACCAAUGGCGAAGGCAGCACUCUGGGACGUGACUGACGCUGAGACGCGAAAGCGUGGGGAGCAAACAGG
This 253-nucleotide ribosomal RNA is filed under the name uncultured bacterium. Its description in RNAcentral is "partial 16S ribosomal RNA". It matches the Rfam family "Bacterial small subunit ribosomal RNA", at positions 524 to 776 of the family's 1533-position model. The record is from RNAcentral.